GAUGAACGCUGGCGGCGUGCCUAAUACAUGCAAGUCGAGCGAACGGACGAGAAGCUUGCUUCUCUGAUGUUAGCGGCGGACGGGUGAGUAACACGUGGAUAACCUACCUAUAAGACUGGGAUAACUUCGGGAAACCGGAGCUAAUACCGGAUAAUAUUUUGAACCGCAUGGUUCAAAAGUGAAAGACGGUCUUGCUGUCACUUAUAGAUGGAUCCGCGCUGCAUUAGCUAGUUGGUAAGGUAACGGCUUACCAAGGCAACGAUGCAUAGCCGACCUGAGAGGGUGAUCGGACACACUGGAACUGAGACACGGUCCAGACUCCUACGGGAGGCAGCAGUAGGGAAUCUUCCGCAAUGGGCGAAAGCCUGACGGAGCAACGCCGCGUGAGUGAUGAAGGUCUUCGGAUCGUAAAGCUCUGUUAUUAGGGAAGAACAUAUGUGUAAGUAACUGUGCACAUCUUGACGGUACCUAAACAGAAAGCCACGGCUAACUACGUG
This 497-nucleotide ribosomal RNA is filed under the name uncultured bacterium. RNAcentral's name for it is "partial 16S ribosomal RNA". It matches the Rfam family "Bacterial small subunit ribosomal RNA", at positions 28 to 507 of the family's 1533-position model. The record is from RNAcentral.